UUUGUGACAUACCUAUAACUGUUGCUUCGGCGGGCAGGGUCUCCGUGACCCUCCCGGCCUCCCGCCCCCGGGCGGGUCGGCGCCCGCCGGAGGAUAACCAAACUCUGAUUUAACGACGUUUCUUCUGAGUGGUACAAGCAAAUAAUCAAAACUUUUAACAACGGAUCUCUUGGUUCUGGCAUCGAUGAAGAACGCAGCGAAAUGCGAUAAGUAAUGUGAAUUGCAGAAUUCAGUGAAUCAUCGAAUCUUUGAACGCACAUUGCGCCCGCCAGCAUUCUGGCGGGCAUGCCUGUUCGAGCGUCAUUUCAACCCUCAAGCUCUGCUUGGUGUUGGGGCCCUACAGCUGAUGUAGGCCCUCAAAGGUAGUGGCGGACCCUCCCGGAGCCUCCUUUGCGUAGUAACUUUACGUCUCGCACUGGGAUCCGGAGGGACUCUUGCCGUAAAACCCCCAAUUUUCCAAAGGUUGACCUCGGAUCAGGUAGGAAUACCCGCUGAACUUAAGCAUAUCAAUAAGGCCGGAGGAA
This 524-nucleotide ribosomal RNA is filed under the name Colletotrichum sp. S632. RNAcentral's name for it is "eukaryotic LSU rRNA". The stretch from base 150 to 303 matches the Rfam family "5.8S ribosomal RNA". Lineage: Eukaryota; Fungi; Ascomycota; Sordariomycetes; Glomerellales; Glomerellaceae. The record is from RNAcentral.